RNAcentral lists this long non-coding RNA (558 nucleotides) under Eucalyptus grandis. RNAcentral describes it as "long non-coding RNA (EGRA_LNC001390)". Lineage: Eukaryota; Viridiplantae; Streptophyta; Magnoliopsida; Myrtales; Myrtaceae. The record is from RNAcentral.
GAAUCUGGUUUUGCAGUUCGGCUCUCGUUGAGGAGGAACCCGGUGGUGAGGGAUCGUUUGUUUACCCUCGUCUUGGCUGGGGCUUUCGCUCAUGGGUUUUACUUGGUGUAUCCUUUUCCUUGCAUUCUUUUUCUUUUUGUUGCCAUCUCGUGCUUUUGGCUGUUAUUUGUUCAUGUUCAUGGUAUUGAUGGAUUGUGUUUAUUAAAGCAUUUGUCUUUAAAUUAUGUCAAGAUUUUCUGCCAUUGUUCUUCUAUAGAUAAAUGUAUUAGUAUUUUCCAUUGUAUCCAUUUAUUACUGUCUAUUGCAGAUUGAUCCGUCAACGGUUUGUAAUUGUAUAGGAUCUAGAAAAUGGUGGUGUCUUCGUUGGUACAAGAUGUUAAGUCCUUAAUAGGAGUCUCAUUACAGGAGGUUACUAGAUGCAUGUCUUGUAGUGCUUCUGAGCGAGCAGUUUCAUCCUCAUGAUCUUCGUGAACUGAGGAUUUGAUGGAUAAGGUGCAAAACCUUAAACGUUAAUGGCCUUGUUUCGCUCUUGAUCCCUUGACAAACUUUGGUAUACAU